UUUGCGUGUUUUGUUUUUUUGUUUUUUUUUUUUUGCACGCUAUCCGCUUCAUUUACUUCAUUUAGAAAUAAACUUAGCUGAAAAUGUGAAUCAAUUAGGAUUCGAACUUGAAACCUCGGAUACCAACCACCAAAUCUUUUGUCAUUUGCUCUAGGAAUGGUCGGUAAAAAACUUCCUUUUCUCACUUGCAGACAACAUUAUUAUUGA
This 207-nucleotide long non-coding RNA is filed under the name Ananas comosus (pineapple). RNAcentral describes it as "long non-coding RNA (ACOM_LNC018390)". The record is from RNAcentral. Lineage: Eukaryota; Viridiplantae; Streptophyta; Magnoliopsida; Poales; Bromeliaceae.